Venturia canescens is the source of this 1495-nucleotide long non-coding RNA. RefSeq lists it as uncharacterized. Lineage: Eukaryota; Metazoa; Arthropoda; Insecta; Hymenoptera; Ichneumonidae. The transcript is spliced from 2 exons. The record is from RefSeq and is a predicted model, not a curated record.
AGGGGGGGGGGGGGCGGUGGCUCACCUUCGCGCAGCAUUAAAUUUCACGUGCGGAAUAUAAUAUGAGAAGGAGGGAGGUCAGAAAAUGAGAUACUCGUGAGACGAGCGAGAAGGGACGAGAUUUACGGAGGAAAAACGCUCGAACGACGGACUAAAAUCGAACUUCGAGAUUCUGUGCAACGAAGUUAUGAAAACGGAGCGCGUCAACGCUCCGUGGAAAAACAAACACGGAAAAAACGACGGUAAAUGUGACCAGGGACAAAACAACUAACGAAAUUCGCAACUCGCAGAAUACUGCACGGCCAAGCCCCUCGUAAUUACGCUCAUUAGCAUGCUUAGCCGAUCCUCGAAACAGGAAAGUAAAAAAGAGAGGAUGAAAGAUCCGAAUCUCUAGCCGGUUAGAAUCUCGUGCACGCGAGUGCACAUUCAUCUCGCACUAUACGAGAGAUUAACGAUUCGAAAGGUGCAGAGACGAGUCGAUGGGAGGAGACGUAAUCCGCAAGUUCCACGCACACAUACACGCACGUGUCUCUCCGUAUUCGGAGCUUGCACUUGUCGCUGAUACUAUAUCCGUGGAGUUUAAAAAACGUGAUUUUUCGGAUGUUCGAGUUUAUCAAGUCCCGACAUCAAUGAAUUUAUUAUAAAAUCAUCGUCGGCGGAUCCGGUCAAUUUUUUCCUUCUCUCUCCAUCGCUCUCGAUGUUAUUUCAGUUUUCAAAUCGAUUUUAAUGUUAAAUCCAUUGGAUUUGGCUCGCUUCGGUGAAUCGCGGAAUCAAGAUUUUGACGGAAUGUACAUGAAACACUGUACGGAGACGUGCAUCCGAGAGAACGGGCGUCGCUGGACUGACGCGAGGGGCCCGAGCCGGUAGGCCUCGACUUUCUUCUUUCGUGCUCUCUGCGGAUUCUAUAUACCGUUUAUACACAUAUAUAUGUGUGUUAAGGUAUAUACAGAGAGAUAAUUUACUGUAGUUUGCUCCUGCUGAGCUUCGGAGGAUCGCCUGUUUCAUUACAAACACCGCUCACCUAAGUGGCCAUCGGCCUCGUCUCGUCACUGAUCGCGCCAGUAAAGAUUUUCACCUGACCGCCCCCGCGGAUAUUUUCACGCGGUGGACACGCUCCGAUCGCGAGAUUAAAUCGAGCGGAACGACCUCCGGGGGGCUGAGCCUACAACUUUUCUCGCAACUCCGAUACGUGCGUUGAAAUUUUCAUCGCAAUUCGUUAGAUUAGCGAAGAAAAAGUGAUCGCGAUACUUCCGGUGGUGGAAUAAAGUGACUGGAAUACCUCGAGUCGAUGGAAUGGGGAUGAAAAAUUGUGGGCGAAAAAUGAGAAAGAAUCGUCUCGGCUGACUUCUCUUUGCGAUCAUCUGAAAAUUAAAAAAAAUAACAACUUUUUGUUUUCUUUCGUUUAAUUAUACAGUCUCUGAGUGAUUAAACAGAUUUUACUCGAUAUGUCCUGUAUUUAUGCUCUAUGUGUAAUAAAUGAGGUAUACUAAUCUUA